AAGUUUAUGAAUCAUAGCAGACUCCUGAGUAAGUCGGGACACGUGUAAUCCUGACCGAAUCCGCCGGGACCAUCCGGCAAGGCUAAAUACUCCUGAGAGACCGAUAGUGAACCAGUACCGUGAGGGAAAGGUGAAAAGCACUUCGAACAGAAGAGUGAAAUAGUCCCUGAACCCAUACGCCUACAAGCUGUCGGAGCCGCUUCGUGCGGUGACGGCGUGCCUUUUGCAUAAUGAGCCUACGAGUUACUCAUCACCAGCGAGGUUAAGUACUUCAGGUACGUAAGCCGAAGCGAAAGCGAGUCUGAAUAGGGCGUCAAGUUGGUGGUGGUAGACGCGAAACCUUAGUGAUCUACCCAUGGGCAGGGUGAAGGUUUGGUAACACAAACUGGAGGCCCGAACCGGUAAACGUUGAAAAGUUUUCGGAUGACCUGUGGGUAGGGGUGAAAGGCCAAUCAAACUGGGAAAUAGCUCGUACUCUCCGAAAUGCAUUUAGGUGCAGCCUCUGUUGUUUUGUUCUAGAGGUAGAGCUACUGAUUGGAUGCGAGGGCUUCACCGCCUAUCAAAUCCGGCCAAACUCCGAAUGCUAGAACAUGAAGACAGGGAGUGAGCCAGCGGGUGCUAAGGUCCGUUGACGAAAGAGGGAGAACUCAGACCAUCAGCUAAGGUCCCCAAUUAUAUGCUAAGUUGGAAUAAAAACGGGGUGGGACUGCUUAGACAGCUAGGAUGUUGGCUUGGAAGCAGCCAUUCAUUUAAAGAGUGCGUAACAGCUCACUAGUCGAGCGGUCCUGCAUGGAUAAUACGCGGGCAUAAGCAUAUAACCGAAGCUAUGGGAUUGUAGAUGAUACAAUCGGUAGGAGAGCAUUCCAUUCAGCAUAGAAGCAGUACCGUGAGGUAUUGUGGAGCGGAUGGAAAAGCAAAUGUAGGCAUAAGUAACGAUAAUGCGGGUGAGAACCCCGCACGCCGAAAGAUCAAGGAUUCCCCGGCAAUGUCAAUCAUCCGGGGGUAAGUCGGAUCCUAAGGGUAAGCCGAGUGGCGAUCCCGAUGGUAAACAGGUUAAUAUUCCUGUACUGAUCAUAACUGCGAUGCAGCGACGCAGAGGUGACACUGCUGCGUACUGACGGAAUAGUACGUUGAAACCCGUAUUCUUUGAUACCGGUAGUGAAGCACGCCGGUAGAGAUGAAAGGUGAUAGUACCGCAAUGCUUCGGUUGCGCGGAUAAUGCAGGUAAGCUGACUGCCAAGAAAACCUGCUAAGCUUCAGGUAAUGAUCAUCCGUACUGUAAACGGACACACGUGAUCAGGUAGAAAAUACUAAGGCGCUCGAGAGAUUCAUGGUUAAGGAACUAGGCAAAAUGGUCCUGUAACUUCGGGAUAAAGGACGCUCUUGUGAAAGAGCCGCAGAUAAUAGGCCCAGGCGACUGUUUACCAAAAACACAUGGCUAUGCUAAUUCGCAAGAAGAUGUAUAUGGCCUGACACCUGCCCGGUGCCGGAAGGUUAAGAGGAGAGCUCAGAGGUAACUCGAAGGUUUGAAUUGAAGCCCCGGUAAACGGCGGCCGUAACUAUAACGGUCCUAAGGUAGCGAAAUUCCUUGUCGGGUAAGUUCCGACCUGCACGAAUGGUGUAACGAUCUGGGUACUGUCUCAACCAUGAGCUCGGUGAAAUUGUAGUUCCGGUGAAGAUGCCGGAUACCCGCAACGGGACGGAAAGACCCCGUGAACCUUUACUGCAGCUUUGCAUUGAUUUUGGGUAACAGAUGUGUAGGAUAGGUCGGAGGCUUUGAUGCUGCGUCGUCAGGCGUAGAGUAGCCGUCGUUGAAAUACGACCCUUUUGUUAUCUGAGGUCUAAUCCCGUUAGGGAGACAUUGCAUGGUGGGUAGUUUGACUGGGGUGGUCGCCUCCAAAAGUGUAACGGAGGCUUCUCAAGGUACCCUCAAGGCGUUUGGUAAUCGUCUGCAGAGUGCAAUGGCAUAAGGGUGCUUGACUGUGAGACCGACACGUCGAUCAGGUUGGAAACAAGAGCAUAGUGAUCCGGUGGUUCCGCAUGGAAGGGCCAUCGCUCAAAGGAUAAAAGGUACUCCGGGGAUAACAGGCUGAUCGCUCCCAAGAGCUCAUAUCGACGGAGCGGUUUGGCACCUCGAUGUCGGCUCGUCACAUCCUGGGGCUGGAGAAGGUCCCAAGGG
This 2179-nucleotide ribosomal RNA is filed under the name gut metagenome. RNAcentral's name for it is "bacterial LSU rRNA". It matches the Rfam family "Bacterial large subunit ribosomal RNA", at positions 384 to 2571 of the family's 2925-position model. The record is from RNAcentral.